ACCCUGUUGAAGAGUCCUACAACAGGACGAAACAACCGUCCAGUAC
RNAcentral lists this non-coding RNA (46 nucleotides) under Schistosoma curassoni. Lineage: Eukaryota; Metazoa; Platyhelminthes; Trematoda; Strigeidida; Schistosomatidae. The record is from RNAcentral.